CCUACGGGAGGCAGCAGUGGGGAAUAUUGCACAAUGGGCGGAAGCCUGAUGCAGCAACGCCGCGUGCGGGAUGACGGCCUUCGGGUUGUAAACCGCUUUCGCCUGUGACGAAGCGUGAGUGACGGUAAUGGGUAAAGAAGCACCGGCUAACUACGUGCCAGCAGCCGCGGUGAUACGUAGGGUGCGAGCGUUGUCCGGAUUUAUUGGGCGUAAAGGGCUCGUAGGUGGUUGAUCGCGUCGGAAGUGUAAUCUUGGGGCUUAACCCUGAGCGUGCUUUCGAUACGGGUUGACUUGAGGAAGGUAGGGGAGAAUGGAAUUCCUGGUGGAGCGGUGGAAUGCGCAGAUAUCAGGAGGAACACCAGUGGCGAAGGCGGUUCUCUGGGCCUU
RNAcentral lists this ribosomal RNA (387 nucleotides) under uncultured Propionibacteriaceae bacterium. RNAcentral's name for it is "partial 16S ribosomal RNA". It matches the Rfam family "Bacterial small subunit ribosomal RNA", at positions 338 to 737 of the family's 1533-position model. The record is from RNAcentral. Lineage: Bacteria; Bacillati; Actinomycetota; Actinomycetes; Propionibacteriales; Propionibacteriaceae.